This 253-nucleotide ribosomal RNA is filed under the name uncultured bacterium. RNAcentral's name for it is "partial 16S ribosomal RNA". It matches the Rfam family "Bacterial small subunit ribosomal RNA", at positions 524 to 776 of the family's 1533-position model. The record is from RNAcentral.
UACAGAGGAUGCAAGCGUUAUCCGGAAUGAUUGGGCGUAAAGCGUCUGUAGGUGGCUUUUUAAGUCCGCCGUCAAAUCCCAGGGCUCAACUCUGGACAGGCGGUGGAAACUACCAAGCUGGAGUACGGUAGGGACAGAGGGAAUUUCCGGUGGAGCGGUGAAAUGCGUAGAGAUCGGGAAGAACACCAACGGCGAAAGCACUCUGCUGGGCCGACACUGACGCUGAGAGACGAAAGCUAGGGGAGCGAAUGGG